GGGGAUGUGGCUCAGUAGUAGAGCACUUGCCUAGCAUGCAUGAGGCCCUGGGUUCCAUCCCCA
This 63-nucleotide transfer RNA is filed under the name Ictidomys tridecemlineatus (thirteen-lined ground squirrel). RNAcentral's name for it is "Spermophilus tridecemlineatus (thirteen-lined ground squirrel) tRNA". It matches the Rfam family "tRNA", at positions 1 to 62 of the family's 71-position model. From Rfam's summary of the family: Transfer RNA (tRNA) molecules are approximately 80 nucleotides in length. Their secondary structure includes four short double-helical elements and three loops (D, anti-codon, and T loops). Further hydrogen bonds mediate the characteristic L-shaped molecular structure. tRNAs have two regions of fundamental functional importance: the anti-codon, which is responsible for specific mRNA codon recognition, and the 3' end, to which the tRNAs corresponding amino acid is attached (by aminoacyl-tRNA synthetases). tRNAs cope with the degeneracy of the genetic code in two manners: having more than one tRNA (with a specific anti-codon) for a particular amino acid; and 'wobble' base-pairing, i.e. permitting non-standard base-pairing at the 3rd anti-codon position. RNAcentral also lists the same sequence under 1 other name. The record is from Rfam by way of RNAcentral. Lineage: Eukaryota; Metazoa; Chordata; Mammalia; Rodentia; Sciuridae.